RNAcentral lists this ribosomal RNA (495 nucleotides) under uncultured bacterium. Its description in RNAcentral is "bacterial SSU rRNA". It matches the Rfam family "Bacterial small subunit ribosomal RNA", at positions 28 to 509 of the family's 1533-position model. The record is from RNAcentral.
GAUGAACGCUAGCGGCAGGCUUAAUACAUGCAAGUUGAGGGGCAGCAUGAUAUACGCGAGUAUAUUGAUGGCGACCGGCGGACGGGUGAGUAAUAGGUAGGAGACCUACCUCAUACAGGGGGAUAGCAUAGAGAAAUCUGUGGUAAUACCCCAUGAGGUUAUAUGAAUAGAGGCAUAUAAUCAAAGCAUAAGUGAUUAUGCGGUAUGAGAGGGGCCUACUGACCAUUAGCUAGUUGGUGAGGUAAGGGCUCACCAAGGCGAAGAUGGUUAGGGGUUUUGAGAGAGAGACCCCCCACAUUGGAACUGAGAGACGGUCCAGACUCCUACGGGAGGCAGCAGUAGGGAAUAUUGGGCAAUGGGCGAAAGCCUGACCCAGCCAUGCCGCGUGAAGGAAGACGGCCUUAGGGUUGUAAACUUCUUUACUACGCGAAUAGAGGUUAGUACGAGAUACUAAUAGGAAGGUAGUGUAGUAAAAGCACCGGCUAACUCCGUGCC